GAUGAACGCUGGCGGCGUGCCUAAUACAUGCAAGUCGAGCGAACAGACGAGGAGCUUGCUCCUCUGACGUUAGCGGCGGACGGGUGAGUAACACGUGGAUAACCUACCUUUAAGCCUGGGACAACUUCGGGAAACGGGAGCUAAUACCGGAUAAUAAAUUUAACCGCAUGUUUCAAUAUUGAAAGACGCUUUUGCUUUAACUUAUGAAUGGACCGCGUCCGCUUUAGCUAGUUGGUAAGUAAACGGCUUACCAAGGCGACAAUCCGUACCCGACCUGAGAGGGUGAUCGGCCACACGGGAACUGAGACACGGUCCAGACCCCUACGGGAGGCAGCAGUAGGGAAUCUGCCGCAAUGGGCGAGAGCCUGACGGAGCAACGGCGCGUGAGUGAUGAAGGGCUUCGGAUCGUAAAACUCUGUGAUGAGGGAAGAACAAAUGUGUAAGGAACGCUGCACGUCUUGACGGUACCAAAGCAGAAAGCAACGGCUAACUACGU
Molecule: ribosomal RNA, 496 nt
Filed under: uncultured bacterium
Lineage: Bacteria
Description: partial 16S ribosomal RNA
Rfam family: Bacterial small subunit ribosomal RNA
Source: RNAcentral